Molecule: unclassified non-coding RNA, 284 nt
Filed under: Hevea brasiliensis (rubber tree)
Lineage: Eukaryota; Viridiplantae; Streptophyta; Magnoliopsida; Malpighiales; Euphorbiaceae
Source: RNAcentral
UCUGCUUUAAGCUAACCAGUUCCAUCUGUAAUGUAUCAUUGGCUUUCUCCAGAACAAGACACCGGUCCUCGGCAGUGUUUAGUUUUGCCGCUGCCAUCGACAUCUCAUCAUUAAGCGUCUUCAAGUCUUCUUUCAAGCGAGAAAUUUCAGUCUCCAGAUUAGAUAUCUUUUCAAGGGAAAGCUGUUGUUGACUUGCAGAAGCUUCCAUUUUGGAGUAGGAUUUAGAUAGUAUACCUUUCAAGCUUUGAACUUCAGCUUCAGAUUUGUCUGCGCGCACUGAUUCG